AGUGAACGCUGGCGGUAGGCCUAACACAUGCAAGUCGAACGGCAGCACAGGAGAGCUUGCUCUCUGGGUGGCGAGUGGCGGACGGGUGAGGAAUACAUCGGAAUCUACUCUGUCGUGGGGGAUAACGUAGGGAAACUUACGCUAAUACCGCAUACGACCUACGGGUGAAAGCAGGGGACCUUCGGGCCUUGCGCGAUUGACUGAGCAGAUGUCGGAUUAGCUGGUUGGCGGGGUAAAGGCCCACCAAGGCGACGAUCCGUAGCUGGUCUGAGAGGAUGAUCAGCCAAACUGGAACUGAGACACGGUCCAGACUCCUACGGGAGGCAGCAGUGGGGAAUAUUGGACAAUGGGCGCAAGCCUGAUCCAGCCAUACCGCGUGGGUGAAGAAGGCCUUCGGGUUGUAAAGCCCUUUUGUUGGGAAAGAAAUCCAGCUGGCUAAUACCCGGUUGGGAUGACGGUACCCAAAGAAUAAGCACCGGCUAACUUCGUGCCAGCCGCCGCGGUAA
This 506-nucleotide ribosomal RNA is filed under the name uncultured bacterium. RNAcentral's name for it is "partial 16S ribosomal RNA". It matches the Rfam family "Bacterial small subunit ribosomal RNA", at positions 29 to 523 of the family's 1533-position model. The record is from RNAcentral.